GGGAAAGUAGCUCAGUAGGUAGAGCACCGCCCUUUUAAGGCGAUGGUCGCCGGUUCGAAUCCGGCCUCUCUCA
This 73-nucleotide transfer RNA is filed under the name Candidatus Delongbacteria bacterium GWF2_40_14. Its description in RNAcentral is "tRNA-Lys". It matches the Rfam family "tRNA". From Rfam's summary of the family: Transfer RNA (tRNA) molecules are approximately 80 nucleotides in length. Their secondary structure includes four short double-helical elements and three loops (D, anti-codon, and T loops). Further hydrogen bonds mediate the characteristic L-shaped molecular structure. tRNAs have two regions of fundamental functional importance: the anti-codon, which is responsible for specific mRNA codon recognition, and the 3' end, to which the tRNAs corresponding amino acid is attached (by aminoacyl-tRNA synthetases). tRNAs cope with the degeneracy of the genetic code in two manners: having more than one tRNA (with a specific anti-codon) for a particular amino acid; and 'wobble' base-pairing, i.e. permitting non-standard base-pairing at the 3rd anti-codon position. The record is from RNAcentral. RNAcentral also lists the same sequence under 2 other names. Lineage: Bacteria; Candidatus Delongiibacteriota.